RNAcentral lists this ribosomal RNA (1554 nucleotides) under Escherichia coli. Its description in RNAcentral is "bacterial SSU rRNA". It matches the Rfam family "Bacterial small subunit ribosomal RNA". The record is from RNAcentral. Lineage: Bacteria; Pseudomonadati; Pseudomonadota; Gammaproteobacteria; Enterobacterales; Enterobacteriaceae.
UUAAAUUGAAGAGUUUGAUCAUGGCUCAGAUUGAACGCUGGCGGCAGGCCUAACACAUGCAAGUCGAACGGUAACAGGAAGCAGCUUGCUGCUUUGCUGACGAGUGGCGGACGGGUGAGUAAUGUCUGGGAAACUGCCUGAUGGAGGGGGAUAACUACUGGAAACGGUAGCUAAUACCGCAUAACGUCGCAAGACCAAAGAGGGGGACCUUCGGGCCUCUUGCCAUCGGAUGUGCCCAGAUGGGAUUAGCUAGUAGGUGGGGUAAAGGCUCACCUAGGCGACGAUCCCUAGCUGGUCUGAGAGGAUGACCAGCCACACUGGAACUGAGACACGGUCCAGACUCCUACGGGAGGCAGCAGUGGGGAAUAUUGCACAAUGGGCGCAAGCCUGAUGCAGCCAUGCCGCGUGUAUGAAGAAGGCCUUCGGGUUGUAAAGUACUUUCAGCGGGGAGGAAGGGAGUAAAGUUAAUACCUUUGCUCAUUGACGUUACCCGCAGAAGAAGCACCGGCUAACUCCGUGCCAGCAGCCGCGGUAAUACGGAGGGUGCAAGCGUUAAUCGGAAUUACUGGGCGUAAAGCGCACGCAGGCGGUUUGUUAAGUCAGAUGUGAAAUCCCCGGGCUCAACCUGGGAACUGCAUCUGAUACUGGCAAGCUUGAGUCUCGUAGAGGGGGUAGAAUUCCAGGUGUAGCGGUGAAAUGCGUAGAGAUCUGGAGGAAUACCGGUGGCGAAGGCGGCCCCCUGGACGAAGACUGACGCUCAGGUGCGAAAGCGUGGGGAGCAAACAGGAUUAGAUACCCUGGUAGUCCACGCCGUAAACGAUGUCGACUUGGAGGUUGUGCCCUUGAGGCGUGGCUUCCGGAGCUAACGCGUUAAGUCGACCGCCUGGGGAGUACGGCCGCAAGGUUAAAACUCAAAUGAAUUGACGGGGCCCGCACAAGCGGUGGAGCAUGUGGUUUAAUUCGAUGCAACGCGAAGAACCUUACCUGGUCUUGACAUCCACGGAAGUUUUCAGAGAUGAGAAUGUGCCUUCGGGAACCGUGAGACAGGUGCUGCAUGGCUGUCGUCAGCUCGUGUUGUGAAAUGUUGGGUUAAGUCCCGCAACGAGCGCAACCCUUAUCCUUUGUUGCCAGCGGUCCGGCCGGGAACUCAAAGGAGACUGCCAGUGAUAAACUGGAGGAAGGUGGGGAUGACGUCAAGUCAUCAUGGCCCUUACGACCAGGGCUACACACGUGCUACAAUGGCGCAUACAAAGAGAAGCGACCUCGCGAGAGCAAGCGGACCUCAUAAAGUGCGUCGUAGUCCGGAUUGGAGUCUGCAACUCGACUCCAUGAAGUCGGAAUCGCUAGUAAUCGUGGAUCAGAAUGCCACGGUGAAUACGUUCCCGGGCCUUGUACACACCGCCCGUCACACCAUGGGAGUGGGUUGCAAAAGAAGUAGGUAGCUUAACCUUCGGGAGGGCGCUUACCACUUUGUGAUUCAUGACUGGGGUGAAGUCGUAACAAGGUAACCGUAGGGGAACCUGCGGUUGGAUCACCUCCUUACCUUAAAGAAGC